CCUACGGGUGGCAGCAGUGAGGAAUAUUGGUCAAUGGGCUUACGCCUGAACCAGCCAAGUCGCGUGAGGGAAGACUGCCCUAUGGGUUGUAAACCUCUUUUGUCAGGGAGCAACGCCGGCUACGUGUAGCCGGACUGAGAGUACCUGAAGAAAAAGCAUCGGCUAACUCCGUGCCAGCAGCAGCGGUAAUACGGAGGAUGCGAGGGUUAUCCGGUUUUCUGGGGUUUAAAGGGUGCGUAGGCGGAAUGCCAAGUCAGCGGGAAAAUCGCGGGGCUAAACCCCGGUCCGCCGUUGAAACUGUGUCCCUUGAGUGUGCGAAGGGUAGGCGGAAUGCGUGGUGUAGCGGUGAAAUGCGUAGAUAUCACGCAGAACUCCGAUCGCGAAGGCAGCCUACCGGAGCGUAACUGACGCUCAUGCACGAAAGCGUGGGUAUCGAACAGGAUUAGAUACCCCUGUAGUC
RNAcentral lists this ribosomal RNA (460 nucleotides) under uncultured bacterium. RNAcentral describes it as "partial 16S ribosomal RNA". It matches the Rfam family "Bacterial small subunit ribosomal RNA", at positions 338 to 795 of the family's 1533-position model. The record is from RNAcentral.